GCCUAGCCCCGAUUGUAGCAAUUGUUUGAGCUCUUUUUUGUUUUUCUUUUUAAAAAACAAAAAAAGCGAGUGCGGAAAGCGGGAAAUUGC
Molecule: small RNA, 90 nt
Rfam family: Flavo-1 RNA